CCUUGAUAUUCCUGUGUGCAGGGUGCUAGCCAGACUUCACUGCCUCACACUGGGGACAGUUGUCCAGCUCAUGAAAGAUUGCUGUCAGGGGAUAAAAGCCUCGUUUGGCUCACUUAAGAUUUGUGAAAAACACAAAGAGAGUUUUUGCCUCUGAAAUGACAAGCAGAGAACCACAAGGCGAUGUUGAGAUGCAGAGGAUGGCAGUUUCCCUCCUUGCAGAGUGACUCAUGCCUCCACUCCAGGGUGCAGGGCUUAGAUUCAUGACAGGUCUGGCUUGCUGCUCACAACUAAAACACCUUACAUACAUGUACAUACAUCUAUUUUAUCCUUGUACGGAAAUGAGAGCAAUGCUUAAAAGUGUCAACUCCAUGUGACAGCAAGAUAGUUCUUAGUUUCAAAUCCAGCAAGCAACAAGAGUGACUGUUUCCCUCACAAACACCUCAGAAGAAAACUCUAAGGGACCUCAUCAAAUAACCAGGAAAGAUUAAUCACCUGAGAAGAGAAGAGAAGAGACUGGGAAUCUUCACCCUGCCCAGACAGAUUUUUCAUCUAUUCUCCUGAGAGCAGCUCCAAGAGAUUACCUGUGGGACUCGAUUUGCAUAAUAAGAUGACCUUUGUUCCUGUGCAGUUCCACCCCUCACCUUCCCAUAAUGUCUGCCUCCCACCUCCCAGAAAUCAUACUCAGUUGGUUUAAUGGUAGAGUUAAAGGCCAAAUCUGCCAUAUAGUAAGUAGUACAUGAAGCCAGGAGAAAGGAUCCAGCAUACAAACCAUGACAGAAUACACACACAUUUUGGAGAUGCAUGCUUUCUCAAAGCUCUGAGGACCAUCAUGAAGACAUAUUAACUGAAAGAAUAUGAAGCGAUGUGAAUAGUUCCUAACUAUUGGAGACUAUACAAGAAACAUGACACCAAACUGUGGUUGUCUUCUGGUGAAGAUCUCAGAAGUUUCCACUCAUGGCAAAAGGUGAAGGGGAGC
Long non-coding RNA from Gorilla gorilla gorilla (western lowland gorilla), 976 nucleotides. RefSeq lists it as uncharacterized. The record is from RefSeq and is a predicted model, not a curated record. Lineage: Eukaryota; Metazoa; Chordata; Mammalia; Primates; Hominidae. The transcript is spliced from 7 exons.